This is a long non-coding RNA of Canis lupus familiaris (dog), 2906 nucleotides long. RefSeq lists it as uncharacterized. The transcript has 3 exons. NCBI's taxonomy places the organism in Eukaryota, Metazoa, Chordata, Mammalia, Carnivora, Canidae. The record is from RefSeq and is a predicted model, not a curated record.
GGGUGGGUGGGAGAUGGGGUUCUUAGCUCCAGUGUUUCAGAUCCAGUGAUUUCCCUGGAAGUGACUCAUUUGUCAGGAGUAUGUGACAAGCAAAAGUGAGCAGUUACUUCUACAGAGCUACAUUGUUCCCUUUGGAUUUUGAAGCAUUUCAAGGAUUUGACCCUUUUAACCUUAGCAAGAGAUCAUUAAAGGCAGGUUUAAAGUGCCAUAUUUAGAAAACAAUAUCCCGUGUUACUGUUUAAGACUUUUACUGUAAGUCAAGGAGUGUCAUGAUUUUAUUCUUGCAUUUUAUUGAUUAUGUGUUGAAUGAAACAAAUUACUUUUUAAUACCUUCCCAGUGGAAUUCUUGUUGGUAGCAGGUAGAGAAAAGUGAAUGCAGGUCUCUAUACCCUAGGAUUGUAUCAGACAUUAUAACAUUACAUUACAAACCACACUACUAGCCAAUGAUAUCCCUCUUGUGCCAUAAUUAAAAGCAUGGCAUUAAAUAAAGAAGAUGUUCAAAUAAAUGGAGGUAGGAGGCUAUGUUUAGGAACUAGGAAUGUGGUAGAUAAAGUAAACAGAUGACUCAAUGAAAGUCUUGGACCUGUUAAACUGAUUUAGAUUUUACCCCAGGGCAAGAAAUACUCUACGGUCUAAUUACAGGGUUAAGAAUGAUGACAGAAGGGAUAAUGUACUAGAUUCAGGGCCAGUAGAGACCCUAUCUCUCUUCCUUAUUCCCUGACUAAUCUCUUCUCUUUCUUAUGAUACCAGUUCUGUCUCCAGAUAACCCCAAAACUUCCCCUUUCUCCACUGGUCCUCUGGGAGGUAUAUUUCUACCAGAUACCAUGAUCCAAAAUGACCCCUUCAUUUUUAUUCUAAAUUAAGUUUCCCAUUCCUUUUAUGCUCUUCUUUCAAGCAAUAAUAAUAAUAAUAAACCACUUUUCUAAGAUUAACAAAUAAGGAUGAAGAUGGCAGCCAUUUAAUGUGUUACUUUUCCCAAGGUGUACUUGUUUUUUUAGUAAAGGAUGACUGCAGACGGCAAAUCUUACCUAAGGUAGGAGAUUCAAGUAUGGUGGAAUUACCAUACCAGCCAAUGGGAGAGGGAGCAGAACCUUUCUAGAGAACUCUAGACAUUUCCACUCCAGGAGAUAGUCCUCUCUAUGCUAUGUCACAAAUGCACUUUUAAAUUGAAUUCAAGGAUACAUUUUACACAUAUUUUUCAGACUACAGUGGUUUUUUCAGCCUGAGAGGAAAGUUCACAAAGUUAGUCAUUAGUCUUCCCAUAAAAAUGGCCAUUCUUGGUGAUGCGCAGAUUAAAAUUGUACAGUUUGUGUUUCCUGUAGGUAAUCAUUUGAUGUGUGGUCAUGCUCAUUGUGCUUUUGUCACAUAUUUCUUCCAAGACUAUUAAACCGUUCUCUGAGAGUACUUUUAGCAAAGUCAGGUGUAGAGUUCAAUUUUAUCAUGCAUCCCCCCACACAUACAAAGUUGUGUGAAAUAAAUAUCAUCUAUCAAAUAACAAAUAUAUUGUUGGAAAACUGGGUGGAGGAAGCUGUAUAUUUAUUGAAUAAUGAUUUUUUAAAAAUAUUUUUAUGUUAUUUAGAUGUCAUGGUGUAUCAGUUAAAUCUUUGAUUCUAAAGGUCAAAUUACUAAAUACAAAUAUGCCAGUUCAAGGAAACUGAGUUGCUAGAUAUUUUAAGUUGACAUACAUUUCUUAAUAAUAAUCGAAAAAUCUUUUCAUCCUUUGAUCUUUCAUUGGUAGUCACUAAGUUAAAAUUUUUAAAACUUUAAAAUUAUCACUCUUUGAAGCUGUACAUCUAAGAAAAGGUUAAAAAAGCAAAUAAAAUGUGAAUACAGAGGGUUUAUUUUUAUAGGAAUUGGCACUUAUGCUGCUGGCUUGUAUAACAUAAUAUGUAUUAUUAUUUACAGCAAAGCAUUGCAGAAAUGUUAAAAACAUUUUUUUCAAUCCUAAAGAUUCCAGAAUUCUAAAGGCAUUAUGAAUCCAUACAUCACAGUAGUAGACACAUCAUUGGCACUCAUGGGAUGGAAUUGGCGCCAAUGAAGAUCUUAAAUUGGCAAAAUCAGAUUUAUUGUUACAAGGAAAGACUAGUAGCUAAUUUAAAAUGUUCACUAGGGAUAUAUGUCCUCUCAAGGUCACAGUGAGCUUGAUAUAUUAGAGAUAAUUGUGUACCGAAUAUAUUUGCAGAGGAUGUAAGUUUUCUUGUGGCAUUAAUGUGGCCAUUAAUAAUUGACUUAGAUAACAAAAAGAUGAAAGGGAACUUAAGGUUGGUUAGCAGCCCGAUGAUUGUCAUGCUGUAGAUACAUACAUUAUGGGUAUUUUUUUUUAAGAUGAGCAACGCUGAGUUUGAAACAACUUUUCAGCUUAGAACUUGAGGUUUCAUCUGUCAGUGGCAAAGAAUAAAUAGAAGUGCCAUGCUUUUUUAAGUAAAAAGUAUACUUUAACAGUUUAUCCCAUUAUCUCCAUGAUUUACUCAGGAUUUUCUAGCCCAUUGACCACAAAACAAUAUACUUCGGGAGAUGCCAACAUUGGUGGAGUUUGCUUAGAUAUAAACUGUGCCCAAGCCAAGAUUAUAUGCAAUUAACACACACCUCCAUCACUCUCCACACCCACACUUAACUACAAUUAGAGCUGACUUUUCUGAAGUAAAUGUCAAUUCUUGUUUCUCUGUGAAAGCAAUACAAAAGAAGCAAAAAGAGAAAUUUUGUAACAUUGGGGAAAGAUCCUGAGAGCACUUCUCCGCAGUCUUUAGAGAAUUUUAAAUCACUCUCCAAGAGAGAGAAUAAGAAGCAUACGGAAAUCACUUUACCUCUACAAAGAAAGCCACACAGAAUUGGGUGAGGACUGCCACCAAAAUCAAAACCCUCCAUGAUGUCAGGGUUGGGAUAAGCUGUUAAAAAAGAAAUACCAA